AGUUGAUCAUGGCUCAGGAUGAACGCUAGCGACAGGCUUAACACAUGCAAGUCGAGGGGCAGCAUAAAAGUAGCAAUACUUGGUGGCGACCGGCGCACGGGUGAGUAACGCGUAUGCAACCUACCUAUCAGAGGGGAAUAACCCGGCGAAAGUCGGACUAAUACCGCAUAAAACAGGGACACCGCAUGGUGAUAUUUGUUAAAGAAAUUCGCUGAUAGAUGGGCAUGCGUUCCAUUAGGUAGUUGGUGAGGUAACGGCUCACCAAGCCGACGAUGGAUAGGGGAACUGAGAGGUUGGUCCCCCACACUGGUACUGAGACACGGACCAGACUCCUACGGGAGGCAGCAGUGAGGAAUAUUGGUCAAUGGGCGAGAGCCUGAACCAGCCAAGUCGCGUGAAGGAAAAGAAGGAUCUAUGGUUCGUAAACUUCUUUUGCAGGGGAAUAAAGUGCAGGACGUGUCCUGUUUUGUAUGUACCCUGAGAAUAAGGAUCGGCUAACUCCGUGCCAGCAGCAGC
This 516-nucleotide ribosomal RNA is filed under the name uncultured bacterium. Its description in RNAcentral is "bacterial SSU rRNA". It matches the Rfam family "Bacterial small subunit ribosomal RNA", at positions 10 to 518 of the family's 1533-position model. The record is from RNAcentral.